Molecule: ribosomal RNA, 465 nt
Filed under: uncultured bacterium
Lineage: Bacteria
Description: partial 16S ribosomal RNA
Rfam family: Bacterial small subunit ribosomal RNA
Source: RNAcentral
GACGAACGCUGGCGGUGUGCUUAACACAUGCAAGUCGAACGGAAAGGCCCCUUUGGGGGUACUCGAGUGGCGAACGGGUGAGUAACACGUGAGUAACCUGCCCUUGACUUCGGGAUAACUUCAGGAAACUGGGGCUAAUACCGGAUAGGAAUCCUUGCUGCAUGGUGGGGGUUGGAAAGCUUCGGCGGUUUUGGAUGGACUCGCGGCUUAUCAGCUUGUUGGUGGGGUAGUGGCUUACCAAGGCUUUGACGGGUAGCCGGCCUGAGAGGGCGACCGGCCACAUUGGGACUGAGAUACGGCCCAGACUCCUACGGGAGGCAGCAGUGGGGAAUAUUGCACAAUGGGCGGAAGCCUGAUGCAGCAACGCCGCGUGCGGGAUGACGGCCUUCGGGUCGUAAACCGCUUUCAGCAGGGGCGAAGCUUGUGGUGACGGUACCUGCAGAAGAAGCACCGGCUAACUACGUG